This 73-nucleotide transfer RNA is filed under the name Veillonella sp. RNAcentral's name for it is "tRNA-Asn". It matches the Rfam family "tRNA". From Rfam's summary of the family: Transfer RNA (tRNA) molecules are approximately 80 nucleotides in length. Their secondary structure includes four short double-helical elements and three loops (D, anti-codon, and T loops). The record is from RNAcentral. Lineage: Bacteria; Bacillati; Bacillota; Negativicutes; Veillonellales; Veillonellaceae.
UCCUCGAUAGCUCAGUCGGUAGAGCAAUCGGCUGUUAACCGAUCGGUCGUAGGUUCGAGUCCUACUCGAGGAU